AGGACGAACGCUGGCGGCGUGCUUAACACAUGCAAGUCGAACGAUGAAGCCUAGCUUGCUAGGUGGAUUAGUGGCGAACGGGUGAGUAAUACGUGAGUGACCUACCUUUGACUCUGGGAUAAGCCUGGGAAACUGGGUCUAAUACCGGAUACGACCAAUCUCCGCAUGGGGUGUUGGUGGAAAGCGUUAUGGAGUGGUUUUAGAUGGGCUCACGGCCUAUCAGCUUGUUGGUGAGGUAAUGGCUUACCAAGGCGACGACGGGUAGCCGGCCUGAGAGGGUGACCGGCCACACUGGGACUGAGACACGGCCCAGACUCCUACGGGAGCAGCAGUGGGGAAUAUGCACAAUGGGCGCAAGCCUGAUGCAGCGACGCCGCGUGAGGGAUGGACGGCCUUCGGGUUGUAAACCUCUGUUAGCAUCGAAGAAGACGAAAGUGACGGUAGGUGACAGAGAAAGCGUACCGGACUAACUACGUGCCGAGCAGCCGC
This 489-nucleotide ribosomal RNA is filed under the name uncultured soil bacterium. RNAcentral describes it as "bacterial SSU rRNA". It matches the Rfam family "Bacterial small subunit ribosomal RNA", at positions 26 to 518 of the family's 1533-position model. The record is from RNAcentral.